Molecule: transfer RNA, 77 nt
Filed under: Saprospiraceae bacterium
Lineage: Bacteria; Pseudomonadati; Bacteroidota; Saprospiria; Saprospirales; Saprospiraceae
Description: tRNA-His
Rfam family: tRNA
About the family: Transfer RNA (tRNA) molecules are approximately 80 nucleotides in length. Their secondary structure includes four short double-helical elements and three loops (D, anti-codon, and T loops). Further hydrogen bonds mediate the characteristic L-shaped molecular structure. tRNAs have two regions of fundamental functional importance: the anti-codon, which is responsible for specific mRNA codon recognition, and the 3' end, to which the tRNAs corresponding amino acid is attached (by aminoacyl-tRNA synthetases). tRNAs cope with the degeneracy of the genetic code in two manners: having more than one tRNA (with a specific anti-codon) for a particular amino acid; and 'wobble' base-pairing, i.e. permitting non-standard base-pairing at the 3rd anti-codon position.
Source: RNAcentral
GUGAAGUUAUCAUAAUUGGUUAAUGACCAUGAUUGUGAAUCAUGAUUAUAUGGGUUCGAGUCCCAUACUUCACCCCA